Molecule: ribosomal RNA, 253 nt
Filed under: uncultured bacterium
Lineage: Bacteria
Description: partial 16S ribosomal RNA
Rfam family: Bacterial small subunit ribosomal RNA
Source: RNAcentral
UACAGGGGGUGCAAACGUUGCUCGGAAUUAUUGGGCGUAAAGCGCGCGUAGGCGGCUACCUAAGUCGGAUGUGAAAGCCCCUGGCUUAACUGGGGAAGUGCACCCGAAACUGAGUAGCUAGAGUGCGAAAGAGGGUCGCGGAAUUCCCGGUGUAGAGGUGAAAUUCGUAGAUAUCGGGAGGAACACCGGUGGCGAAGGCGGCGACCUGGGUCGACACUGACGCUGAGGCGCGAAAGCGUGGGGAGCAAACGGG